UCUCCACCGCAGCCGCCCUAGCUACAGCCUAGCAACGGCGAGGUUCUAGCGGCCCUGGGUUCUACAGGCCUUUCAGAGUCGAGGAGCGCCAAGGGCCUAGAGACAAUCGAGAUAGGAGAGAGAAUGUGUCAGCCGAGCUGCGAGCCGAAGAGCGAGGCAACGGGUGGACUCUGGUGGAAUUGUGCUUUGGUUUGUCAAUGGGCUCUUAUGAAGAGAGUAGGUGCUGUUUCCUGACUCCCUCCGGAAGGAAUUCUUUCAGCAUCCUUGUUCUGGUAGAAUAGAUAGCCAAGUACACAGGAGCAGAAGCGUGGAAGCUGUCCAUCUCUUCUGCAGUUAGAGACCAGCUGAUUGGAAAUAAAGGCACCAUGACACUUUCCCAGGGACCGUACAGGGCCACUGAAGGACGUCUUGAUAAGGAGAAAAUGUAAAGGAGCACAAGGACACCUUGACCUUUGGAGCAUAUCAGAGUAGGAUGACAUGAAGGCGGUCAAAGAAAGGAACUGACAAUGACAUCAUAAGAGGAGGAGACUAUAAGAACCGUCUUUAAAAAUCCACAGUGCAGAACCCAGUGGACUCUCCCUUCCGGCAGCCUGCCCCACGUUUGC
Non-coding RNA from Myodes glareolus (Bank vole), 605 nucleotides. The record is from RefSeq and is a predicted model, not a curated record. NCBI's taxonomy places the organism in Eukaryota, Metazoa, Chordata, Mammalia, Rodentia, Cricetidae.